RNAcentral lists this ribosomal RNA (402 nucleotides) under uncultured bacterium. RNAcentral's name for it is "bacterial SSU rRNA". It matches the Rfam family "Bacterial small subunit ribosomal RNA", at positions 356 to 774 of the family's 1533-position model. The record is from RNAcentral.
GGGGAAUUUUGGACAAUGGGCGAAAGCCCGAUGCAGCAACGCCGCGUGGGCGAUGAAGGCCUUCGGGUCGUAAAGCCCUUUUUGAGGGGAUGAGGAAGGACAGUACCCUCAGAAUAAGCCUCGGCUAACUACGUGCCAGCAGCCGCGGUAAAACGUAGGAGGCGAGCGUUAUCCGGAUUUACUGGGCGUAAAGCGCGUGCAGGCGGAUUGGAGAGUUGGAUGUGAAAGCUCCCGGCUUAACUGGGAGAGGUCGUUCAAUACUUCCAGUCUUGAGUGCAGUAGAGGGAAGUGGAAUUCCGGGUGUAGUGGUGAAAUGCGUAGAUAUCCGGAGGAACACCAGUGGCGAAAGCGGCUUCCUGGACUGUAACUGACGCUCAGACGCGAAAGCUAGGGUAGCAAACG